UACAGAGGUCUCAAGCGUUGUUCGGAUUCAUUGGGCGUAAAGGGUGCGUAGGCGGCGCGGUAAGUCGGGUGUGAAAUCUUGGAGCUUAACUCCGAAACUGCAUUCGAUACUGCCGUGCUAGAGGACUGGAGAGGAGACUGGAAUUUACGGUGUAGCGGUGAAAUGCGUAGAUAUCGGGAGGAACACCUGUGGCGAAAGCGGCGCACUGGACCAUAACUGACGCUGAGGCGCGAAAGCUAGGGGAGCAAACAGG
RNAcentral lists this ribosomal RNA (253 nucleotides) under uncultured bacterium. RNAcentral describes it as "partial 16S ribosomal RNA". It matches the Rfam family "Bacterial small subunit ribosomal RNA", at positions 524 to 776 of the family's 1533-position model. The record is from RNAcentral.